Molecule: long non-coding RNA, 3073 nt
Organism: Alexandromys fortis (reed vole)
Lineage: Eukaryota; Metazoa; Chordata; Mammalia; Rodentia; Cricetidae
Exons: 3
Source: RefSeq, a predicted model, not a curated record
GCAAAAACAUUUCUUUUACAAACAAACAAACAAACAAAAAAAACCCAACCAACAGUAUUGUACAGACUAGGAUUCCCUAACCUAAGAAAAACAAUGAGGCAUAUUCAUAGGUGUAUAAAGACAACCAUCUGUCACACUCUUUGGUUCUGGCGCCUUUCCCAUGCUAAGCACUUAAACUAUAAACUCUAGUCCCCACGCUGCAUAAUUCACGUUUGUGCACAUGGUGCUGAGGACCAACCCUGGAGCCUUGCACACGCUGCACAAGUACUCUGCCACUGGGCCACACCCUUAGCCCUAGAAUAGCUGCAGUGAGAGGUGGAUAGAGACAACUUAAAUGUCAAAUAUAAACCAUUAACUUAUGGUUGAAUAAAUAGUGCAAUCUACAUUAGUAUGACAUAGUCACUAAGAAAACAACUUUUUUUAAAAAUAUUUAUUUAUUAUGUAUACAAUAUUCUGUCUGUGUGUAUGUCUGACAUACAGAAGAGGGCACAAGGCCUCACCACAGAUGGUUGUGAGCCACCAUGUGGUUGCCAGGAAUUGAACUCAGGAUCUUUGGAAGAGCAGGCAAUGCUCUUAACCACUGAGCCAUCUCUCCAGGCCCAAGAAAACAACUUUUUGAAGAAAAAAAAAUUACUCACCUUGGAAGAGUGCUGACAGAAAUUUUAAAUGAAAACAAAUGAGGGUUUGAGUACCCUCUGAUUCAAUUAUAGUUAGGUAAUAUACACAAGCAGAGAAAAUAUGCCAAAGCACCUAAGUAGAGGGAUUAUGGCUUUUUGCUUACUAAGUUCUGUAACUUUUCUAUAAGUUAGGAAAUCCCAGAAGAUUUAAUAAUUAAAUGGUUAAGUUCUUUAAUAGGCCCAAAAAUCUGGCUAAACUGCAACAAACACUUGUGGGGAGCUAAGGAAGCCCUGAGCAAAUGUGUAUUGUUGACUUGGGCACAGCUGUCAAGGACCUAACGUCUCAGAUCCCAUGGGAGUGGCAAAUCCUCUCGUCUCAGUGCAAAUGAGGACACUGUGACAAUUGGCCGGUGUGACAACUGCCGUGCAGCAGCAGCCUCUUACUCCUGAGUGACUGAGAUGGUCAUCUAUAAAGACCCUCUCCUGUGCUAGACACAAUAAAUACACAGAGGUUCUGAGGUGCUGAGUAGGAGUGCUCCAUUAGAGCAAGCACAGCCUCCCUGACCUCAACUUCUAUGCGUGUAUGUGUCCCUUCUUUAUUUCCUCACUGCUCCAGUCAGGUUUUUAGGACCAAGCCAUGCUGGACUCGGCAGACAAUGGUGCCAAACUUUAGAAGAACGAACUAUGCACUGUAUCUAUAAUAGUGAUAGCAGAUAGCACUGAGGACCCCACUGUGACCUGGGAGUGUUCCAAAUGCUUUUCUUGCAUUAACUUCUGGUGAGAUUCACCAAGAAUCAGAGCAAAUCUUGGCAAAGUCAUAUGGUCACUUGAGAAGAUGCAGACAGAAUCCCAAUCUGGUUUUCCUGGGCUGUAGCAGAUAAGCACUGGUCCUCUUUGCUCUGAACUGGAAGACCCAAAGUCUCAGAGCUACACAAUGGAGUGGAACCCCCUCCAUGGGUCUUAGUUUAACUUUUUUUUUUUUUUUUAAAUUUUUGAAUACAGGCUGGCCUAGAACUUGCUAUGCAGACUAGGCUAGUGGCUGGUACUCUACCUCCUGAGGGCUGGGAUUAAAGGCAUGCACCAUCACAUCUGGCAGUUAUGGGUAGUCACGAGCCAGUGUCUUCCUCUCACUUUUACAGGCUCCCCUUACCCAAGAAGGUUCUAUUUCAAUAAAUACUUGGCAAACAGUAACUACUCUACAAAGAAUAGGAUUCCUACCUCUGUACUUAGGAGAAAUAGAAUUCUGGUGUUGCUCUUCUAGCCUGUGAAUAAGCAUUAAAUCCCAGGAGUCUUGAGACUCCAUAGGAAAGUGUGGCAAGAGGAAGCAAACAGGAGUGAACACAGGUCGCAGUAGGUCAGUGGGCACUGGCCCAUUUCUUGUAGGAAGGAAAGAAAACACACUUCCUCAAGUGUUUAGUGCCUCCCUGCAUCACCAGCCCUUCUCUCCCAUCUGCUGACACUUAAGUCUCUCCUGAGAGCUCGGAAAGUCACCAGCCUGGGAAUCUUGAUAGACUGGUCAGAAGAACAAGGCUGAAUUAUAGACAAGUUCUUUUAUUUAUUUAUUUUUAUUUGAUGUGCAUUAGGUGUUUUACCUGCAUGUAUGUCUGUGUGAGGGCAUUGGAUCCCCUGGUACCAAAGUUACAGAUAGGUGUGAGCUGCCAUGUGGGUGUUGAGAAUUGAACCCGGGUACACUGGAAGAGCAGCCAAUGUUCUUAACCAUUGAGUCAUGUCCAGCCUUGUCCAGUAACUAUGGACAAGAUCUUAAGCAGGUUCUUUUGUUUUGUUUUUGGCAUCAGCUAGAUGUCAACUCAGAUACCACCUCUGUGAAGCAUUCCUGACCAGCCUAGUCUAAAGUGCUCCUUGCUGGACUGCUAUGCUCUGUGCUCCCCAAAGCCUCUCAAGGAGAGGGUGCUAACUUAUUUACUUGACCUCCUCACCUGGAACAACAGCCAGGACCCUGCAGUCCACGGGACUAAUGCUAACCAUUACCUGUCUCUCGCAUAAGCCUACAGCUGCAACCAGGCCCUUGCAGCCCACGGGCCUAAUCGUAAUCAUUAACUGUCUCUUGCACACGCCUACAGCUGCUGUCAGCUACCAUAGCAGAGUGGAGCUGUUGCAACAGAAACUGUCUUGAGCCUGUAAAGCCUACACUAUUGACAGCCUCGUUCUUUACACAUGUAAGGUUCCUCAGCAUAGGCUCAGACCAGGACACCCUCACCUGCUUCCAGAUGGUGACACAGGGAGAGAGCUGCCGGGAAGAAGCCCAUGCUGCUGCUGCUGCCCCUGGAGCUGAUGCGCUGAUACAAGCCAGAUGCAGUCUGGCCCAGCUGCACAAACAGUUCCAGCAGGUUCAUCAACAGCUCGUCCACAAGAUGUUCUUCCUGAAUGUUGGCUGCAAUGUUGGCCAGGGCAUUGAUCACUGCUAGGGAACAGUGCCUAAAGAAAAGGAACAAAGG